RNAcentral lists this ribosomal RNA (271 nucleotides) under uncultured bacterium. RNAcentral describes it as "partial 16S ribosomal RNA". It matches the Rfam family "Bacterial small subunit ribosomal RNA", at positions 793 to 1055 of the family's 1533-position model. The record is from RNAcentral.
GUCCCAGCUGUAAACGAUGGACACUAGAUAGAGGGAAUCCUGAUGGUUCUCUUUGUCGUAGCUAACGCGUUAAGUGUCCCGCCUGGGGAGUAUGCUCGCAAGGGUAAAACUCAAAGGAAUUGACGGGGGCUCACACAAGCGGUGGAGCAUGUGGUUCAAUUCGAAGCAACGCGAAGAACCUUACCUGGGUUUGACAUGCAUGGAUUAGCUUCCUGAAAGGGAGGUUACGCCCGCAAGGGUGGAACAUGCACAGGUGUUGCAUGGCUGUCGU